The sequence is a transfer RNA, 74 nucleotides long. It matches the Rfam family "tRNA". From Rfam's summary of the family: Transfer RNA (tRNA) molecules are approximately 80 nucleotides in length. Their secondary structure includes four short double-helical elements and three loops (D, anti-codon, and T loops). The record is from Rfam.
GGUUUCGUAGUCUAGUCGGUUAUGGCGUCUGCUUCACACGCAGGAGGUCCCCAGUUCGAUCCUGGGCGGAACCA